RNAcentral lists this ribosomal RNA (883 nucleotides) under Salmonella enterica subsp. enterica. Its description in RNAcentral is "bacterial LSU rRNA". It matches the Rfam family "Bacterial large subunit ribosomal RNA", at positions 325 to 1212 of the family's 2925-position model. The record is from RNAcentral. Lineage: Bacteria; Pseudomonadati; Pseudomonadota; Gammaproteobacteria; Enterobacterales; Enterobacteriaceae.
UGUGUUAGUGGAAGCGUCUGGAAAGGCGCGCGAUACAGGGUGACAGCCCCGUACACAAAAGCGCAUGUGCUGUGAGCUCGAUGAGUAGGGCGGGACACGUGGUAUCCUGUCUGAAUAUGGGGGGACCAUCCUCCAAGGCUAAAUACUCCUGACUGACCGAUAGUGAACCAGUACCGUGAGGGAAAGGCGAAAAGAACCCCGGCGAGGGGAGUGAAAAAGAACCUGAAACCGUGUACGUACAAGCAGUGGGAGCACCCUUUGGGGUGUGACUGCGUACCUUUUGUAUAAUGGGUCAGCGACUUAUAUUCUGUAGCAAGGUUAACCGAAUAGGGGAGCCGGAGGGAAACCGAGUCUUAAUUGGGCGUUAAGUUGCAGGGUAUAGACCCGAAACCCGGUGAUCUAGCCAUGGGCAGGUUGAAGGUUGGGUAACACUAACUGGAGGACCGAACCGACUAAUGUUGAAAAAUUAGCGGAUGACCUGUGGCUGGGGGUGAAAGGCCAAUCAAACCGGGAGAUAGCUGGUUCUCCCCGAAAGCUAUUUAGGUAGCGCCUCGUGAAUUCAUCUCCGGGGGUAGAGCACUGUUUCGGCUAGGGGGCCAUCCCGGCUUACCAACCCGAUGCAAACUGCGAAUACCGGAGAAUGUUAUCACGGGAGACACACGGCGGGUGCUAACGUCCGUCGUGAAGAGGGAAACAACCCAGACCGCCAGCUAAGGUCCCAAAGUCAUGGUUAAGUGGGAAACGAUGUGGGAAGGCCCAGACAGCCAGGAUGUUGGCUUAGAAGCAGCCAUCAUUUAAAGAAAGCGUAAUAGCUCACUGGUCGAGUCGGCCUGCGCGGAAGAUGUAACGGGGCUAAACCAUGCACCGAAGCUGCGGCAGCGAC